This 2122-nucleotide long non-coding RNA is filed under the name Marmota monax (woodchuck). The record is from RNAcentral. Lineage: Eukaryota; Metazoa; Chordata; Mammalia; Rodentia; Sciuridae.
AGACCUCUGGAACUACCUCGGGGAGGAUAGAAUAACAAGGUAAGUGCCCACCUGGGCGAGGCACCCUCAGCUGCAGGCUUCCCCUGGCUCUUAUAAGACGCAUGAAGCAGGCACCAUGACAGAGGUGUGGCCUGGCUCUGGCGUCCAGUGCGUAUCUGCUGGGUCUCACCAGGCCUGAAUUUCUCCUUGUUCCUUUUGGUUCUAUUUGCCCAGGAAGUUUAUUCCUAGUUGAGCAGUCUGCCUAACGAGGAACAGCUCACUGGGGAGUGACUGGCUUGGGGGUUGCUCCCCAGCAGGCAUUUCCCAGGGACCCUGCCAGAGUUGGUCCUUCUACUCCUUUCCCACCUGCAGCCAGGCACAAGUGGUCCCACGGGAAUAAAGUGGAAGAGAACAGCCAGGACUCCUGGGAGCCGGCUGAUGCUGGGUGGUGCUUGGUGAGACAUGACUGUUUUCAACGAGGAGCACGUUAGAACUCUCCCUUGCGUUGUCUUGGGACUUGCUGUGGGUCUCUAACGGUGCCGUGGCUGUAUCCAGCCAUUUCACAAAGAGUGAAAGUGACACAAAGCAGCUGAUUGUGCCCCCAAGGUCUUCUGAUGGAUGAAAUGUCAGGGGCAGACCUGCACCUGAGUGCUGAAGUCACAUGCCACACCUUCCCUGAGCCCACAGUUAAAAUAUUCUGUGAAAAGUCGUGUGCACUGGCAUUUGGUUGCACAGAGUGAAGAUUGGGCAGGAAUGGUUUUGUGUAAAUACAAGUCCAAGGAGGUGGGUCAGAAGUCCCAUCAUCUAGAAGUCAUUAGGUGUUUCAAUCAACCUGUAUUUUAGACUGCCCUUUAUUAUAGGAGAAACAGACCCCCUGUGUGCAUGAGCUCAUGUUGAACGUCAAGUAAUCCAAUCCCUGUUGAACUCCCUCCUCCACCUCACCAGAGGUCUGGGAGCAGGGACCUUGGAAUAGGCAUUGCAAACCCGUUUCCAACACUUUGCCCACGGACUGGCCAGAUGCAUUGGCCUAGGACUGUUGUAGGGACAAAGGAGGCAAGGCACUGAAGACAGCAGGAAAUAGUUUAAUUUGGAUGCAGCCAGGUUUAGAAGGCACAACUUUUGCUGUAAUCAAUCAAUCCCCUGAACCCCGAGUUCAGGGAGUUUCAGAAUUUUAUACCCAGCCUGUAAGGGGAGGGGCUCAGAAGUCCACAGUCUGCAGAAGUUCACACAAACGCAGCUUUUGCUUUCACUGUUCUGGGCAAGUUAACCCUCCAAGGACCACACCUGAGAAGGGGAGAGCUUCUUCUCCCCUUUCUUUCCUCCCCUGCCAGCUGUUACCAUGGGCCCAUUUGUAACUUAUCUUAAAAAUGUAGACAUCUCUGUGGAGCCCAGCCCAGCUCAAGGCCAGAGGCCUUGUUUGCACAUUUCUUCAAAGUCCUAUACUGGAUACGUUUGUGAAAAACUAGUGAGGGGGUGUCCAGCACCUGGAGUGCUGGUAUCUUCCCGGCCAGUGGCCAAGUAAACAGGGCGACAUGAAAAUAGGAAGUUUAUCUACAUUGGACUCUUUUGUAGAGACUCUUUUGCUGACACUCCUAAAAUCAGCCAUGGUGAAGAGGGCUUUUCUGUGGAGAAAGGGGGUGCCACUUCAGGACCACUGGCAGGCUUUUGCAAGAUGCUUUUAAGAUAAUACAGCCAAGAUGACCAUCGACCUUACCUGUGAUUACCUAUAAAAUUUACCUGUUCCGGAUACAUUUAGAGUCACUGUCAGUCUUCCAAUUCUUCUGAAACUAAGACAGAGCGUGCACAGGACCAAUAUGAUUCUAAAGGUAAAUGCUUGACUUUUGAUUAUUUAAAAAUACGGAAUUUUUCAAUGCAUCUCAUUUGCACCUGGUUUUUAGAGAUUGUGGUGGACAUGUCCAACACAGACCUGUCUUCAAGGAAGUCAAAAUCUGGGAAAGAAAACAAUGUUUGAAGUGAAACAAUCAAAGGCAGGAUAGGAGAGGCACCAUGAGGGUGGGGGUGGGGAAGCUACUCUGCAAACACACGUAGAAGGAUCUCUGGUUGCAGACGCUCAGGGACGAGCAGAGGUGCCCGGGGUGACACGAGGUGGCAGAGGAGACAGGUGGUCAUGGAACAAGUGAAG